GAUAAUGUCCUUUGAGCCAGUCUCCUGAGCAUGUUUCAGGAAUCCAGAGCUAUGACCUAUCAGCUGCUUCUUUGUGAUCCGGUGAGUGAAUCCUGCCAUGUGGUGUCUGUGAGAGCACCAGAGAAACAGAAACUCACAUUUUUGGAUCUCUGCUGCCAUUUUUGAGACUUCCUUCAUGUGAACCACGUGGUGCCUGACACGCCAGUGUUGGGCAGUUUGGAGGGCUGCUGGAGGAGUAGGCUGUGUGUUGGGGACUUGGAUAGUACAGAACCUUGGAUUGGGCCCAUCGUACCCAGAAGAAGUUACCCUUAUGCCAUGGAGGAGACAGCAACAGCCAUGACCCAACCAGUGCAGAAAUCUGAGAAAUUCAAGUAUCAUUCCCAUCUUACUGUGGCCUUUGUUUUCCUACUAGCCCUCAUGCUGGCCUUUUUUGCCUAUGCUGUCCUGAUCCUGGGAAAGCAGAAGCAGAUAUAGACUCUGGCCAAGGACAGCAUAGCAGUUAGAGAACCACUUCCUGAAAAUAGUGAAUGUGCCCAGGAUGUUGUAUUAUCCAUCGAAAUUAAUUGUUCCCAGCAGGGCAAACAUCGCCAUACAGACUCCCUGGCUGGCUCCCAUUGUGUGGGACAGGACUUUCCAAAUUGGAAUCUUGAACCAGCAAUUCUGGCUCCAGAAUGUCUCCAUUGGGUUAGUUGUGUUCACCACAGGAGCAUGCAUAGCCUUCCUAAAAGUGCUCCUGCAAACCUCUGAGACAUACUUCAUGCAGGGACACCGAGUAAAGUACUACCCUUUCAAUGGCCAGCCAGCUAGCCUUCCAACCUUGAAGCCCUGUAAGGGGAGGCAGAUGGUAAUUCUGGAAAUUCAGGCUUCUGCCCAUCAGCUGGACACUUAUGUGUGCAGAGUGGAGAUGAUCAGCCAUCUUUCCCAGCAUCACUUUGUGAAGGAGGUGGACUACCUGGUCUGUGUCUGUGUGAACAUCAUCUUCUGCCACACUGUGGGUGUGAAGGUCCUGUCCUCCCUGUUUGACACACUGCAUCCUCUCGUCUUUGGACUCCCGAGAAAAUCCUUGGCCUAUGAAAGGCAGCCUCAGCCACAAGCCUACAUUUCUGAGGAUGAGGGAGCCUUCUUUGGGGGAAAGGUACUGGAGAUUUACAGGCUCACCAAGUUCCAUUACCAGGCUGUGAUGAUGGACCAAGCUCAUUACAUCGAAGUGAUGAAAGCUACUUGAACUGUCUCCUUUACCACAAGCCCACUAAGGUCCUCUCUCCUGGGUGUGUGCAGCAUAAACAACUAAUGGGGAAAUGCUUGUGGGAGUCAGCAACCAUCCCUGGGCUGACCCUAACCAAGACUCCAGAGAGACCUCAGACAGCGUCAGUUGCAGGGAUGUCCAGUCUUUUCGAGUGCUGCCCAAGGUCAUGACCACGUUUUACUAGUGGCACACCCACCAUCUGGAUGGUAAAAAGAUCAAUACGCUUCCAUGUUGAGUCCCUUUGAAAAUAAACUGUUGACGUAA
This is an RNA transcript of Rattus norvegicus (Norway rat), 1510 nucleotides long. It is a transcript of the gene named ABO, alpha 1-3-N-acetylgalactosaminyltransferase and alpha 1-3-galactosyltransferase like 1, with no coding region annotated. Lineage: Eukaryota; Metazoa; Chordata; Mammalia; Rodentia; Muridae. The record is from RefSeq and is a predicted model, not a curated record.